Molecule: long non-coding RNA, 1084 nt
Organism: Misgurnus anguillicaudatus (oriental weatherfish)
Lineage: Eukaryota; Metazoa; Chordata; Actinopteri; Cypriniformes; Cobitidae
Source: RefSeq, a predicted model, not a curated record
UUUGUAUCACUACGCCACAGUAACAGGUGAAACACUCUUCGUCAAAGUUAUCUCGGGGACAUUAACAGAGACGGAUGACAUCAUUGCAGAUGAGGGUUGAAACGACCCAUCGGAUGAUUGCAUGUCAGAGAAGUGUGACCCCCGUUUCUCUCCCUCUUUCUUUUUGUAACUCUCUCUGUCGGUUUCCGGAGUUUGCAAGCCUUUCUUCAUGAUCCGUGAUGGAUAAUGGUCAUUCCUGUUGCUCCGGCAAACAGCAGAUCACGAAAGCAUUUCCAGGUGACCAGAAUAGGAACCAGAAAACGAUCAGGGGAAAAAGAGAAGGAGGUGAUCAGUGCUGAAAUCGGCGGACAGGGCCAAAGAUCAAUUGGUCACAGAUACACCAUCAUCCCCCGCUGUAGAGGCGUGGGAAAGUGAGCAAAAAUGUCUAGCUGUAGCCCGAUCUCCUGGUGAUAGAUGCCAGGCCAGGGGUAUUUGUGGGCACGUGUGUGCAAGAUCUGGCCCAGCUGCUUCGCUCUAUACCCUGCCCUGGCACAAAAUGAAGAUAUAGCCCGGACUCGGAGUGUGCCAAACUGCUACCUCUCCAUGUGCCUUAUGUGCCAACACCUCAACAAGUUUACAGUUGACUGCUUCAACACCUUCCAUGAGGUUUUUAAAUCCAUGUUUGGAUUCCUAUGGUCAGUUCAUAUAGCAUUUGAAUUCAUUCAAGUCAAAGUGGUACAUAGAGGGUUAACCCUGUGUGCGCGUGUGUGAUCAUCUUUCUGACAGUGAUUCUUUAAAUUGGAGAGGCUUAUAAUGAAACACAUUUGGUCAGGUGAUAAUAACAGAAUAAGAUUGGAGAAUCUGAGUGGCUGGUGUGAGGUCGUCGCCAACAUGUCCAACAUAAAGGCAGGUUUUCAUUAAAAGCUUUUCUCUUUACAGUAAAUAAAAACGAUUUUCGUUUUUAAACUUUUACUUUUAUAAAACUGAUUUGAUAGUUAAUAUUAAAUAGGAUUAAAUUCAUAGCAGGGGUUUUUGGAGGUGCGAAAAUUUUUUUGGAUGAUCUUUUAUUAGAACGAGAAUCCCAUGGAAUAAAUUUACAACAAAG